Molecule: long non-coding RNA, 345 nt
Filed under: Parus major (Great Tit)
Lineage: Eukaryota; Metazoa; Chordata; Aves; Passeriformes; Paridae
Description: lncRNA (ENSPMJG00000003349.1)
Source: RNAcentral
CCAUGAUGGGCUUCCAAGUGACUACUCCUCCAUCACAGAUUUUAAAGUGCUCACAGUGAUUUCAUACCACUGAGUCACAGAAUCAUUCAGAUUCCUUGGAUACUUCAAGCCCUGUGCACGAGGGUUCACCCAUGACUGCUCAUUCCUGGAGGAGCAUCCUGGAUUCCUGUUGACCCCUGCAUGGGCCUGGCUCAGGACAGGCUCCUUGCCGGCCACUUUGGCCCACACUGCUCCUUUCCGUCCAUCACAAAACUCAUCCUGCUCCCAGAUACUGCUUUCAUCUCAUUAAUUUCUUGCUUGCUGGAGCACACAGAGGAUCUUAACCCCUCUGCAGCAAGGAUUCCA